This 477-nucleotide ribosomal RNA is filed under the name uncultured bacterium. RNAcentral describes it as "partial 16S ribosomal RNA". It matches the Rfam family "Bacterial small subunit ribosomal RNA", at positions 28 to 507 of the family's 1533-position model. The record is from RNAcentral.
GAUGAACGCUGGCGGCGUGCCUAAUACAUGCAAGUCGAGCGAACAGACGAGGAGCUUGCUCCUCUGACGUUAGCGGCGGACGGGUGAGUAACACGUGGAUAACCUACCUAUAAGACUGGGAUAACUUCGGGAAACCGGAGCUAAUACCGGAUAAUAUAUUGAACCGCAUGGUUCAAUAGUGAAAGACGGUUUUGCUGUCGCUUAUUGAUGGAUCCGCGCCGCAUUAGCUAGUUGGUGAGGUAACGGCUUACCAAGGCGACGAGGGGUAGCCGACCUGAGAGGGUGACCGGCGACCCUGGUCCUGAGGGACGGCCGAGGCUGCUACGCUACGCAGAAGUGGGGAAUCUUGCAGAAUGGGCGCAAGCCGGAUGAAGCAACGCUGCGUGCGGGAAAACUUCUUUCGGGUGGUAAACAAAUUUUGGCAGUGAAGAAGCGGGUGUGACGGUACCUGAAAAAAAAGCCCCGGCUAACUACGUG